GAUGAACGCUGGCGGCGUGCCUAAUACAUGCAAGUCGAGCGAACGGACGAGAAGCUUGCUUCUCUGAUGUUAGCGGCGGACGGGUGAGUAACACGUGGAUAACCUACCUAUAAGACUGGGAUAACUUCGGGAAACCGGAGCUAAUACCGGAUAAUAUUUUGAACCGCAUGGUUCAAAAGUGAAAGACGGUCUUGCUGUCACUUAUAGAUGGAUCCGCGCUGCAUUAGCUAGUUGGUAAGGUAACGGCUUACCAAGGCAACGAUGCAUAGCCGACCUGAGAGUGUGAUCGGCCACACUGGAACUGAGACAGGGUCCAGACUCCUACGGGAGGCAGCAGUAGGGAAUCUUCCGCAAUGGGCGAAAGCCUGACGGAGCAACGCCGCGUGAGUGAUGAAGGUCUUCGGAUCGUAAAACUCUGUUAUUAGGGAAGAACAUAUGUGUAAGUAACUGUGCACAUCUUGACGGUACCUAAUCAGAAAGCCACGGCUAACUACGUG
RNAcentral lists this ribosomal RNA (497 nucleotides) under uncultured bacterium. RNAcentral describes it as "partial 16S ribosomal RNA". It matches the Rfam family "Bacterial small subunit ribosomal RNA", at positions 28 to 507 of the family's 1533-position model. The record is from RNAcentral.